CCUGAUGACCAUAGCGAGUCGGUACCACCCCUUCCCAUCCCGACCAGGACCGUGAAACGACUCCACGCCGAUGAUAGUGCGGAUUGCCCGUGUGAAAGUAGGUAAUCGUCAGGC
This 114-nucleotide ribosomal RNA is filed under the name Paraburkholderia sp. D15. The record is from RNAcentral. Lineage: Bacteria; Pseudomonadati; Pseudomonadota; Betaproteobacteria; Burkholderiales; Burkholderiaceae.